Molecule: ribosomal RNA, 465 nt
Filed under: uncultured bacterium
Lineage: Bacteria
Description: partial 16S ribosomal RNA
Rfam family: Bacterial small subunit ribosomal RNA
Source: RNAcentral
GACGAACGCUGGCGGCGUGCCUAACACAUGCAAGUCGAACGGAAAGGCCCUGCUUGCAGGGUACUCGAGUGGCGAACGGGUGAGUAACACGUGGGUGAUCUGCCCUGCACUUCGGGAUAAGCUUGGGAAACUGGGUCUAAUACCGGAUAGGACCGCACUUUAGUGUGUGUGGUGGAAAGUUUUUUCGGUGUAGGAUGAGCUCGCGGCCUAUCAGCUUGUUGGUGGGGUAAUGGCCUACCAAGGCGGCGACGGGUAGCCGGCCUGAGAGGGUGUACGGCCACAUUGGGACUGAGAUACGGCCCAGACUCCUACGGGAGGCAGCAGUGGGGAAUAUUGCACAAUGGGCGCAAGCCUGAUGCAGCGACGCCGCGUGGGGGAUGAAGGCCUUCGGGUUGUAAACUCCUUUCGCUAGGGACGAAGCUUUUUGUGACGGUACCUAGAGAAGAAGCACCGGCUAACUACGUG